UACGUAGGGUGCAAGCGUUAUUCGGAAUUACUGGGCGUAAAGCGUGCGCAGGCGGCUAUGCAAGUCAGAUGUGAAAUCCCCGGGCUCAACCUGGGAACUGCAUUUGUGACUGCAUGGCUAGAGUACGGCAGAGGGGGAUGGAAUUCCGCGUGUAGCAGUGAAAUGCGUAGAUAUGCGGAGGAACACCGAUGGCGAAGGCAAUCCCCUGGGCCUGUACUGACGCUCAUGCACGAAAGCGUGGGGAGCAAACAGG
RNAcentral lists this ribosomal RNA (253 nucleotides) under uncultured bacterium. RNAcentral's name for it is "partial 16S ribosomal RNA". It matches the Rfam family "Bacterial small subunit ribosomal RNA", at positions 524 to 776 of the family's 1533-position model. The record is from RNAcentral.